Ornithorhynchus anatinus (platypus) is the source of this 2563-nucleotide long non-coding RNA. RefSeq lists it as uncharacterized. The record is from RefSeq and is a predicted model, not a curated record. The transcript has 4 exons. NCBI's taxonomy places the organism in Eukaryota, Metazoa, Chordata, Mammalia, Monotremata, Ornithorhynchidae.
CCGCCCAACAGGGCUGGAUCGCGGCUGAGGUGGGCUCGGCCUCCGUCCCGAGGCACCGGAGCACCGAGCACUGGAGCACUAGAGCACGGAGUACAGACCACUGGAGUACCGGAGCACCGAGCACCCGACCCCCGGAGUACCGGACCUCAGAGUACCGAGCACUGGAGCACCAGAGCAUGGAGUACCGAGCACUGGAGUACUGGAGCACCGAGCACCCGAGCCCUGGAGCACCGGAGCUCGGAGUACCGAGCACUGGAGGACCAAAGGACGGAGUACCGAGCACUGGAGUACCGGAGCAUCGGGCACCCGAGCCCUGGAGCACUGAGCACUGGAGCAGCAGAACACGGUGUGCCGAGCACUAGAGUACCGGAGCACCAAGCACCCGAGCCCUGGAGUACCAUUGCACGGAGUACCGAGCACAGGAGCACCAGAACAGGGAAGCCCUGCCAGAGGAGACUGUCCCCGCUGAGCCCCGGCUCCCGGCCGCAUGUGGUCCAGGUGGCCCUCAGGUGUAGAUACACUUAAUGAAACAAAUGAAAGAAGAACAAGAAAUGGCCAGGAUGACAGAAUCUAGAAGAAACCGAGAGAUUGCACAGCUUAAAAAAAGACCAACGGAAACAAGACCAUCAACUCAGGCUUUGGAAGCUCAGAAAAGAAAUCAAGAAGUGCUUCUUUGACAUAAGAGCAAAGAGGUAUGGGAACAGAACUUCCAGUUAAUUCCAGGAAAGCUGUGUGACUUUGGAGAGAAAUAGAAUGAUUUCAGAGAGAAGGCAAAUGAUGUAUUUUCCACACUGUUUCAAGUAACAGCUCUUCAGCAGCAAGUAAGGCCCAUGUCUGAUAAAGUAUCUGGGAAGGUUAGUCGAAAACUGAGUGACCCUGAUUCUCCUGCUCAAGACCUGAGUUCCACUGUAGCUGCCGGACUCCUCGAUUUGACUAAGGCUGGAUCCCCACAGAAAAUGAGAAUUCCUUUUGCAAGAGUGUAAGCAUUACCAGCAACUGCAGCCUAUGGAACCUGGUAAAAUGUUUCCAAGGUGAUGUGAGAGCAUUUUCAUGCGAGGAUUGUUCUCCAAUGAGCCACUCAAUUUGAAACAUUUGUUGUGUGGGUGAUCCAUUCUAUAAGAAUUUCAAAUAAAAAUGUUUGUCAUAAAAAUGUUCGCAGGAAGAAAUACCUGAAAACGGGAAUGACCGGUCGAGUGUUCACGUCAGAAACUGUCUGGAUGAAGUAGGGUCACAGAUGUCAUUAUGCAGAGAAUGACAGUUUCCAAUAUGGAGAGUGAUAUGAACAGUCUUCUAAAGGGAAAUAGCAAUGUGCAGAACUCACAAAAAGAAGAGAGAAACUUUCAAAAAGAAGAGAAUGAGCCAUCAAAAAGAAUGGAUAUGUGGAUAAAAAUAAGGAAAUGGAAUCACUAACUGCAAACGUCGAUCACAUCAAUGGUAGUAUUACAGAUUGUCAAGCCAGUAUCAUGCAGAUGGCAGAGCAAAGGUUAGUUACAUAUUAAAUGUGAAGUGAUAAUUUGAAAGAAAACUCUGUGAACCUUUCACAUGUAAUAAUAUUCUGUUCUAAGGUAGAGUUAAGUGUGACAUCUAUUAGCAGCGAAGGAUACACACAGUCUGUUUAAUGUUACAUCUAUAUAAAAAUAUUACACCCACUUUGCUUGUAAGUGGCAAAGUUGAUAUUCUUUGUCGAGUUAUUUCCCAGUAUAUGAUUUUAAUAGAAAUGUGAAUUGCAAUGAAAGCUUUGCCUAAAAGAAAAAGUCCCAAUAUGAUUCACUUACUACUUUGGCAUGUAGCACUUAUUAAAUAUUCAUUUGAUUUAUUUUAAAAUAUUGCUUCUUGCAGCUUGAAAGGAAGACUAGAGGAACCCUUUCUUUGAUUAAAGUAUAGUUGAGUCGCUCUUACUCUAGUUACAAUAUUAACAGGCAAGUGCCCUUGAAAUAACGUCUUAAUUUUCACCCUUCAAUUUCAUUCACCUGAAUCAUGACCAUAUUGUGUGUUUCACAGGAAGAAGGCUAGACCUUCAAUAUCACUGCAGUGAUCAGUGCUUGCACUUUCCCUUGCACUUUAACUCUGCACUUGCUCAUUUUCUCCUAUCUCGUUAUCUCUUUUCUUAUCAAUGGUCAUCAAUAAGAUAGGGGGCACAUUUGAUUCAGUAUGUACUGUUGAUUGGAAAGGGUGUGUUGGGGGGGUGGGGCGGCGGUGAAUGUGAUUUUUUUUAUUCUUUUUUUCUUUUGGAAAGCACCACAGAAUGCAGUUUACAAAUUUGGUAUGUAUGCUGUCUCUAUCGGAACCCUCCAAUCUAUUCGAGCCUUUCCUAAAACUUGCCAACUGGUCAUUUCUGCAUUAGAUAUUUUUUUCUUCAUCCUUAGAAUGCACUUCAAACUGAUGGGAUAGGCUUCUUUAGCUAGAUAAGCAGCAAAGCCAAGUCUAAAGCCACGUUCUGUUCCUCAUUUCACUUUUGUACUCAUUUGAACUUAACUGAGGAAUUAUGGGAGAAAGUCACCCUGAUCCCCGGAUGUGAUCUUUUUGCCAAGGAAUAAACAAUAAAUUACAAUAAAUAAAUUAC